UUACAUUCUUUCUCUCAUCCUUGGUAGCAGUUAUUUGUUUGCAAAUAAUCUAUAGGGCCAGCGGACCGGGGGAUUUUUCCUUGAAUUAGCCGAAGUGUAAUUGCGGGAAACUUCUUGCCGAGGGCUGUGCACUUCCGGAUGAUUAGUCGGAACGUUGUUUCGACACCCAGUGCCAAAAAAAAAAAAAACAGUUAUUUUGAUUCUUCGUUGCCCCAACGUCACACGCUCAAACACUGAAUCUGAGCUACCCCUUACAGGGGCCUGCGUAAGUGGGACCGAUACUGAGUAAUUACCCUCUUGUUCACGGUACAAAAAGGUUUAUAAGAGGACAUGAAAAGAAUGUAAUGAACAAUCUAGACUAUCUGGGUAUUUAUUUAACAUUUGUUCGAUGCAGUGGUGCGUGAAAACGCUCGCCAAUAAACAUUUUUUAUGAAUAAAAUUAGGAAAUAAAUAUAGAAAGUUUUUUUUUUUCUUUUUUGAGAUGUAAUUUUAUAAAAAGUGAAGAGGGACAAAACCCAAGUACAAAGACAUACAAAAGAAGCACGACAUAGAGAACUUGAAUGUUCCAAUCAUACAUAGAUGCUACUCAAUGGGUCAAAUGCAACAGUACUAAUGUUCUCAUGAGAGAAGUCUAUUGAACUACUUGUGUUAUCAUUUGAAUUGCAUUAUAAACUAGAAUCAGGUAAUAUCCAAGAUUAGUCGGG
Juglans microcarpa x Juglans regia is the source of this 704-nucleotide long non-coding RNA. RefSeq lists it as uncharacterized. The record is from RefSeq and is a predicted model, not a curated record. The transcript is spliced from 2 exons. NCBI's taxonomy places the organism in Eukaryota, Viridiplantae, Streptophyta, Magnoliopsida, Fagales, Juglandaceae.